Molecule: ribosomal RNA, 470 nt
Filed under: uncultured organism
Description: partial 16S ribosomal RNA
Rfam family: Bacterial small subunit ribosomal RNA
Source: RNAcentral
CACUCCUGCGGGAGGCAGCAGUGGGGAAUAUUGCACAAUGGGCGCAAGCCUGAUGCAGCCAUGCCGCGUGUAUGAAGAAGGCCUUCGGGUUGUAAAGUACUUUCAGCGGGGAGGAAGGCGAUAAGGUUAAUAACCUUGUUGAUUGACGUUACCCGCAGAAGAAGCACCGGCUAACUCCGUGCCAGCAGCCGCGGUAAUACGGAGGGUGCAAGCGUUAAUCGGAAUUACUGGGCGUAAAGCGCACGCAGGCGGUCUGUCAAGUCGGAUGUGAAAUCCCCGGGCUCAACCUGGGAACUGCAUUCGAAACUGGCAGGCUAGAGUCUUGUAGAGGGGGGUAGAAUUCCAGGUGUAGCGGUGAAAUGCGUAGAGAUCUGGAGGAAUACCGGUGGCGAAGGCGGCCCCCUGGACAAAGACUGACGCUCAGGUGCGAAAGCGUGGGGAGCAAACAGGAUUAGAAACCCCUGUAGUCC